Molecule: ribosomal RNA, 445 nt
Filed under: uncultured bacterium
Lineage: Bacteria
Description: partial 16S ribosomal RNA
Rfam family: Bacterial small subunit ribosomal RNA
Source: RNAcentral
CCUACGGGUGGCAGCAGUAGGGAAUUUUCGGCAAUGGGGGAACCCUGACAGAGCAACGCCGCGUUAAGGAAGAAGUUAUUCGUAAUGUAAAGUUCUUUUAACAGGGAAGAAAGAGAAAUUUGACGGUACCUGACGAAUAAGCUCCGGCUAACUACGUGCCAGCAGCCGCGGUAAUACGGAGGGAGCGAGCGUUAUCCGGAAUUAUUGGGCGUAAAGGGUGCGUAGAUGGCAUAGUAAGUCUUUUGUAAAAAUGCGGGGCUCAACCCAGUAGGGCAAAAGAUACUGAAAAGCUAGAGUAUGAAAGAGGCAAGUGGAAUUAGAUGUGUAGCGGUAAAAUGCGUAAAUAUAUGGAAGAACACCAGUGGCGAAGGCGGCUUGCUGGGUCGAGACUGACAUUGAGGCACGAAAGCGUGGGGAGCAAACAGGAUUAGAUACCCUAGUAGUC